RNAcentral lists this ribosomal RNA (1063 nucleotides) under Ascotricha sinuosa. RNAcentral's name for it is "SSU rRNA". It matches the Rfam family "Eukaryotic small subunit ribosomal RNA", at positions 51 to 1124 of the family's 1831-position model. The record is from RNAcentral. Lineage: Eukaryota; Fungi; Ascomycota; Sordariomycetes; Xylariales; Xylariaceae.
GGGCAUGUCUAAGUAUAAAGCAAUUAUACCGCGAAACUGCGAAUGGCUCAUUAAAUCAGUUAUCGUUUAUUUGAUAGUACCUUACUACUUGGAUAACCGUGGUAAUUCUAGAGCUAAUACAUGCUUAAAACCCCGACUCACGGAGGGGUGUAUUUAUUAGAUUAAAAACCAAUGCCCUUCGGGGCUUUUUGGUGAUUCAUAAUAACUUCUCGAAUCGCAUGGCCUUGUGCCGGCGAUGGUUCAUUCAAAUUUCUGCCCUAUCAACUUUCGAUGGCAGGGUCUUGGCCUGCCAUGGUUACAACGGGUAACGGAGGGUUAGGGCUCGACCCCGGAGAAGGAGCCUGAGAAACGGCUACUACAUCCAAGGAAGGCAGCAGGCGCGCAAAUUACCCAAUCCCGAUACGGGGAGGUAGUGACAAUAAAUACUGAUACAGGGCUCUUUUGGGUCUUGUAAUUGGAAUGAGUACAAUUUAAAUCCCUUAACGAGGAACAAUUGGAGGGCAAGUCUGGUGCCAGCAGCCGCGGUAAUUCCAGCUCCAAUAGCGUAUAUUAAAGUUGUUGCAGUUAAAAAGCUCGUAGUUGAACCUUGGGCCUGGCUGGCCGGUCCGCCUCACCGCGUGCACUGGUUCGGCCGGGCCUUUCCCUCUGGGGAAUCCCAUGCCCUUCACUGGGUGUGGCGAGGAACCAGGACUUUUACUGUGAAAAAAUUAGAGUGUUCAAAGCAGGCCUAUGCUCGAAUACAUUAGCAUGGAAUAAUAGAAUAGGACGUGUGGUUCUAUUUUGUUGGUUUCUAGGACCGCCGUAAUGAUUAAUAGGGACAGUCGGGGGCAUCAGUAUUCAAUUGUCAGAGGUGAAAUUCUUGGAUUUAUUGAAGACUAACUACUGCGAAAGCAUUUGCCAAGGAUGUUUUCAUUAAUCAGGAACGAAAGUUAGGGGAUCGAAGACGAUCAGAUACCGUCGUAGUCUUAACCAUAAACUAUGCCGACUAGGGAUCGGACGAUGUUAUUUUUUGACUCGUUCGGCACCUUACGAGAAAUCAAAGUUUUUGGGUUCUGGGGGGAGU